RNAcentral lists this transfer RNA (75 nucleotides) under Candidatus Peribacteria bacterium. Its description in RNAcentral is "tRNA-Glu". It matches the Rfam family "tRNA". Rfam says of the family: Transfer RNA (tRNA) molecules are approximately 80 nucleotides in length. Their secondary structure includes four short double-helical elements and three loops (D, anti-codon, and T loops). The record is from RNAcentral. Lineage: Bacteria; Candidatus Peregrinibacteriota; Candidatus Peribacteria.
GCGGCUAUCGUCUAGGGGUUAGGACAUCGGGUUUUCAUCCCGGCAACCGGAGUUCGAUUCUCCGUAGCCGUACCA